GAGUCAGGGCUCGACCAUUCUGAAUGGAGGGAGUGAAGUGUAAUGCCAAACCUGAGAAAGAAAGGGGGCAGAAAAGGAAGAAGUAGAAGAGAAUGAAAAAAAAAAGUAAAUCCAGUCGGAGAGAUAGGAAGAGAAAAGCAUCAAAGAAAGAAGAAAUAAGGAGAACAUCUGGGGAAGGAGAUGAAAAAGGAAACUGAACUGCACCCAAAAGGCUUAGUAAACUGUAAGACUCUCUGCCCUUUCAGCUAUGGCUCAAAUAAAACAACCGAACCUCCAGUAGAAGAGCAGGACCUUUCUUCUUGUGUUGCCUUUUUAUAGAAUGUGAGAAGUCCUGCCCGGACUAUGUGUUUGAAGACCUGGGUUCCAAUUCCUAUCAAACUACUAUCAAUGUGACUUUGGGACAAUCAUUUCUCUUCUCUGUACCUUAAUUAAAUUACUUGAUCUUUCAAAUGAUAAAGUUGGAUGACACUGUC
Molecule: long non-coding RNA, 473 nt
Organism: Vombatus ursinus (common wombat)
Lineage: Eukaryota; Metazoa; Chordata; Mammalia; Diprotodontia; Vombatidae
Exons: 2
Source: RefSeq, a predicted model, not a curated record